Molecule: long non-coding RNA, 310 nt
Organism: Pelmatolapia mariae (spotted tilapia)
Lineage: Eukaryota; Metazoa; Chordata; Actinopteri; Cichliformes; Cichlidae
Exons: 4
Source: RefSeq, a predicted model, not a curated record
ACACAGCUUUGCGAUCUCCCCAGCAUGCAGAGUCUGAUGUCUUCCCUAUAGAUGAUUCCAGAGACUCUGUGAAGCCACUAUUACAAGGUGAGACGCUUUGCGUUGAUUGGUGCUGCUGGACCACACUGGAGGUGCGAGUCCGCUGUGUAAUGGUUUAUGCCAUUACAAAGGAGCUGGCCUCUGUACUCAACUGGGCAGGGAAAAAAUACCAAGGACCAGACAAAGCAAAAAAGGGCAUUUAAAGAGACAGCGCUGUGCAGAUGCAUAUUUGAUGGCCUGGCGCAGCAGGUAGGGGCGAACUCUAUGUCUG